This 400-nucleotide ribosomal RNA is filed under the name uncultured bacterium. Its description in RNAcentral is "bacterial SSU rRNA". It matches the Rfam family "Bacterial small subunit ribosomal RNA", at positions 355 to 747 of the family's 1533-position model. The record is from RNAcentral.
UGGGGAAUUUUGGACAAUGGGGGCAACCCUGAUCCAGCCAUACCGCGUGAGUGAAGAAGGCCUUCGGGUUGUAAAGCUCUUUCGGCAGGGAAGAAAUUGUGCUUAUUAAUACUGAGCAUAGAUGACGGUACCUGAAGAAGAAGCACCGGCUAACUACGUGCCAGCAGCCGCGGUAAUACGUAGGGUGCGAGCGUUAAUCGGAAUUACUGGGCGUAAAGCGUGCGCAGGCGGUUUUGUAAGACAGAUGUGAAAUCCCCGGGCUUAACCUGGGAACUGCAUUUGUGACUGCGAGACUAGAGUGUAGCAGAGGGGGGUAGAAUUCCACGUGUAGCAGUGAAAUGCGUAGAGAUGUGGAGGAAUACCGAUGGCGAAGGCAGCCCCCUGGGUUAACACUGACGCU